AGUGAACGCUGGCGGUAGGCCUAACACAUGCAAGUCGAACGGCAGCACAGAGGAGCUUGCUCCUUGGGUGGCGAGUGGCGGACGGGUGAGGAAUACAUCGGAAUCUACUCUGUCGUGGGGGAUAACGUAGGGAAACUUACGCUAAUACCGCAUACGACCUACGGGUGAAAGCAGGGGAUCUUCGGACCUUGCGCGAUUGAAUGAGCCGAUGUCGGAUUAGCUAGUUGGCGGGGUAAAGGCCCACCAAGGCGACGAUCCGUAGCUGGUCUGAGAGGAUGAUCAGCCACACUGGAACUGAGACACGGUCCAGACUCCUACGGGAGGCAGCAGUGGGGAAUAUUGGACAAUGGGCGCAAGCCUGAUCCAGCCAUACCGCGUGGGUGAAGAAGGCCUUCGGGUUGUAAAGCCCUUUUGUUGGGAAAGAAAUCCAGCUGGCUAAUACCCGGUUGGGAUG
This 454-nucleotide ribosomal RNA is filed under the name Stenotrophomonas maltophilia. RNAcentral's name for it is "bacterial SSU rRNA". It matches the Rfam family "Bacterial small subunit ribosomal RNA", at positions 29 to 490 of the family's 1533-position model. Lineage: Bacteria; Pseudomonadati; Pseudomonadota; Gammaproteobacteria; Lysobacterales; Lysobacteraceae. The record is from RNAcentral.